Non-coding RNA from Manis javanica (Malayan pangolin), 8714 nucleotides. Lineage: Eukaryota; Metazoa; Chordata; Mammalia; Pholidota; Manidae. The record is from RefSeq and is a predicted model, not a curated record.
UACAAAGUUUCACCUUCUUCAAGAACAGUCAGUUUCAGAGAGGAGGUCAUGCAUAGACCUUAUUCCUUAAUGUCCUUCCCCCUCCCCCAUUCUGUUUUGGCUUACUCUCAUUGUCCAUGCUAACACCAUUUUCUCCACAUUUACACAGAAAAGUACUUAAGUUCAGGGCUAAGCCUGACUGCGUGGAAAAGGGGUUGUUACUCUGUGUGACUCCUGGCUGGACUUGUUUUGUGUUCAUAAAACCCACUUGAGUAAACAAGUUCUAGUGUGUUUGAGUUCCAAUUGCUUGCAUUACUUCACAGUCACGCCUGACUCAGAUUGCAAAAUAGCUGGUGUGACCAGAUGCACGGAAACCCUGGCAUCUCAUCAUCACUCAGGAACUUGAUGGUUCGAGAGACUGAAGAUACACACACUGAACUACCCUGAAAUAUUUUUGGUCAUCCAACCCAAAGAGUUCCCCUGUUAGCAGCUCACAUACUCCACUAUGAAGUUGUUCUGCCUUCAAGUUUAUUGGGCAGCACCAGGAUUGCACAGGUACAAGAACUGGUAAAUGGCAACACCACCUCAUACGCAGAUACUGGAACCCAGAAGGGAAAAGUGCCUCGCUCUUGACUCAAACGUUAUAAUAUGCUGGCUUUGGAGUCCCAGCCACCUGAAGACUUCACAUGACCUUAGAGGGCCAGGACAGUACAUGCAAGGGGCAUCCAAGCCAGCGGGAACAGAAGAAAGGCUUCUUACAGGAUGUAUCUUCUAAGGGGACAUCCAGGAAGUUGAGGGAAAAAAGAUGAAAUAGUGUCUAAGACUAAAGGGAUAAGAACAGGCAAAUGACCAGAGGCAAGAGAAACACAGAUUCACAAACGACAGGAAGAAAUUUGGCAUGGGUGGAGCCUGUGUGUGUAUGCACAUGUGUGUGCAUGUGUUGAAGGGUACUGGGUGGUGACUGGAGAAGUAGGUAAGGGUCAGGUGACCCAAGGCUAAUUUAAGACAUUUAUUUAUCCUUGUUUGCAAAGAAUUGAAGGGCUUUACCUUGGUCAUUCACGGAUCUUGGAAAGAUUAUAAAGGCUGCUUUGUGAAGAAAGGUAGCAGAGGAGGAUCGGGCAAGAUAUCACCGGUGGAGGCCUUGCUGUGCUUCCUGGGAUCGUGUCUCGGAGGUGACCAGGAAUGAAGCCAGCAGACAGCAGUAUGAGCAACCAUCAAAGCUCUUAAUGAGGAGUGGAAAGGAAGGAAAAGAAUCUUGCUAAUCAGGAGGGGCUCCAAGUAAGGAUGCUGUUAGGGCUUCAGUGUCUAGGGUUUAUAAGCACAAAAACAGAGAAAUUUACAUGAUUGGCGGGGGCUUGUUGCUAGGGCCAAGCUGGGUUCAAAAGAAAAAACUCCCUUAUUUUUCAGGCUGAAUUUUCCAGGUAUCCAGGAUGUGGCUUCUUGUUUACUGUGAAGCCUUGACCCUAGGUCCCUCUUAACUGCAAUUUACCAGGGCCUUGAGCUCUGGCUCCCUGCAUCCCACUAACACCUGCCUCAAAGACACUUUGACAUAAUCCAGGCAAACAUCAUGAGGCCUGAUGAAGGAUAGUGGCUGUGGGAUGGAGGACGGAGUGCAAAUUGAGAGACAUUCAUUCAGAGAGCAAGACUGAUUUGAUGACUUCUAAUCCGCGGUCAUUGGUCCCAACAUCCAUAGAGGAAAUACUUUAGUCAGUUUUUAUGGAUUCACAGGCCAUGGUUUCUUUCAGGGUGUCUUACUCCAGCUCCUCCUUAGCUUAUUUUCUUGACGUCAAUGCAGUGUGUUGCCACUGGGGUGAAACUCGUUUUAUAAACACACCCUUAGGUGGUGUGGCUAUGUUAGGGUAAGUAAUACUAGUUUUGAUAACAAACAACCCCCAAAUUUCAGUAGCUCAACACAAUCAAAAUCUGGCUUUCCCCCAAUAAAGUUCAGUGGGGUUGGGUGGGUGAAUUUCCUUCAAGCCAAGAUGACUCCCAAUUCAGGUGUCUUUCAAUCAGGGCUUGGGUGUCCCCAGCCACCACAUGAUCAAAGAGAAGGAGCUCAGAGCAUUAUAUGUGGGAAGUUUGAGGGGACAGUUUGGAAGGGGUGUAGCUCAUGGAUCCCCAUAUUCCAUGGCUCAGAACUUGUCACAAGACUUGGAUUCAAAGAAUCUUGGAAAUACAGUCUGACUGUGUGUCCUAGAAGAGGAGGGUGGGUCUGGUGAACAGCCUGCAGAUUCUGCCAUGAAGGAACACAUGCCGGAAGCAGAAUGUUGAACCAGAGGGUAGGUUCACGUCCAUUGUGUUUCCUUUCAUUAAUCCAGAGUGUUCUAGGUUUCUUCCUUCAGCUUAAAUAACUGCAACUCUUAAGGAAAGUGAACAGAGAGCUUCAGGUGUGUGUAAGUCGGGCCUCAUCCUCUGGUUGGUUUUUGUCACACCCCAUGGAGAAUGUGGAGAAUGACAGUGGGAUGCUGACAUGAACAGCAGAGUGAGGCCAACAGUCUACUUUCAGCUUAACCCACGUGCAUGUCACCCUAAGGCCUUGGUUUCCUUGUCUUGCCGCUUGCUGGGCUGGUCCAGGCAAAAUCGCUCUGUGAUUUCCAGUGGGAUGAGUGGAUCUUCAAAAUCUCUGGGAAAAAAAUCUGUACAGUAUAAGGAGUAAAAGCGCAAGGGAGAUAAUUAGGGGCACGUGAUGAAAGAUAAGACCUUUACCACUUUAUGAGGGGAGGAGGUUUCAAACUAAGCUUUAUUGGUUAUCAGUUGAACUCUGCAGCCUAAAUUCAUUGUUUCCUAUCAUUUUUCUUAACAUCUGCAUCAAAUGCUUAUGUAGAAAAGAGAAAGGUGGAGAGUGGCCAAGAGCUCUCAUCUCCAUCUUUACUAAGAGUGGAUCAGCGAGACUGACUCCCAGAAGUGCUGGGACUCUAACAUGUUACUGAAGAAACCAUGGCCAGUGACUGAAACAAUCUAGUCCAAACUGAGACACCCAGUCAGGUAGGCCACUGACCAUUCCUGUGCUUUGACCCCUCCUCCAUCUUGGCAACACCACCUGGGAGAAGAUGCUGGCCUCACAGUUACAAAGAGGACUCCUUCAUGGCUCAGGGUUGUGUAAAAGAGAUCUGGGAGCUGCCUGCAGGUUGCAUUUCCACCCAGGACCUGGGUUUUAGAAGGGCCUGUGACAAGCACGGAUAAGCAAGUCACCCCCAUGCAAGCGAAAGGGCACUGUGAUAAAGGGUUGGCUCACCAACUACUCAAAGGAGAAAAUGCUACUAAGAAAAAAAAAGCAACACAGCUUCAGCAACAGGCAGAGUGGGCAUUGGCUGCUUCUCCUACACCUUCUCCUUCCUUCCCAUAGAGCACUGAUUGGCCUGGAAAACACCUCCUUUCCCUCUGCUAUUCGCUGUGGUGCUGGGAGGGUUGAUCCCAUCUUUUAGCCUGAGUCCAAAGCCUAUCACUCUGGCCAGGAUUGGUUUGGAGAUGGUCAAAUAAAUUGCCUGGAAGAGAUGGAAGAAAGUAUCUCUUUUCUCUCCUGGGGCUGCUCAGAGGCAGAUGCCUAAGAAAGGAGCUCUAAGGGAGGGAUGCCAGCCAAGAAAAGAGAAACUGAGUCUAAGACAUCAGUUCAAGACCUGGCUCUGCCAUUCCUGAGUCUUGGAUACCCAGCAGAUCCUGAUUCACAUCUUGAUUGAAGAUAUUUUAAGGGGGUAAGAGAAGAGUCUACUGCUUGCGACAGGAAGGGCUCUGGCUACUGCAAGGGGCCGCCAGAUCGCCUAAGGGAUUCGAGUAGAGAUAAUUCUAAUUACACUGAUAAUACCUUUUCUCUGAGCCCCUGCUACGUAGUUCACAAAUACUGCUUUUUCUUUCCUACCAACUUAUAAGAGAGAUGCAAUUAUCACCAUUACGUAGCUGCAAUCAUGGUGGUUCUCUUAUGUUGAGUGACUUGUCCAAAGGUGAAUUACUUGUAAGCAGUGGAGGAGGGAUUCAACCCACUUCUGCUUGUAUCAGCUUCUAUGGGCUUGUCACUCUGUCACACUGCUGUCCUGCAGGGAGGGGCUGAAUUAACAUGGGGACAAAGAGGAGAACCAGGGGACACAGUUUGUUUAGAUAUACAAAUCUUAGAAAGGAUUCUCCAUCAUAGGCACAAGUGUCUAGGGGGAAAAAAGAUUUAAAAGCAACAAACAAACAAACAGAGCCCCAGGAAAACAACAGGUGCACUGGGAGCAGUGCCCUCCUCCAGAGAAGGCCAUGGAGCUAGCUCAGGUCGGUUUUGUACUUAACAAGUUCUUAGACCUUUUGGGUGCAUGUAAUAGACACAAACUGGCACUCGGUGUGUUACAAGGAUAUAUAGUCUUCAAGACCCUGAGACCCUGGUGUUAGCUAAUCUCAGAGUUUUGGAAGUGGGGACCGGGAUCUCAAGUUUCUAACUCUUAUUUUUCCAUCUCUCUGCGUGUCUGUUUUAACCUUUUAUUCCUCUGUAGGCAGGCUUCCUCACCCUGAUCCACCAUCUGUAGGCAGAUCUGGCUGUCCCAUGACUUCCUGGUUGACGUGGUUCACAGAGACCCAGACACCUAAGGAGACUGACUUUCUGUCUCAACUCCUGAUCAUUGCCACGUCCAAAUUUCUCAGGUGGAGAGAGUGGCUUGCUGGAGCAAGCAGUCCACCUGGUCCUCUCAAUGCUGGAUCUCUUUUGGGGUGAAGUGAGCAAGCGGUACCAGGCUAUGGAAGCUAGGAGCCCACCUGCGGAGGGCUCUGUGGUGCAUGGCCCAGAUGUCCCAGCAGGAACUGAAAACCUAUCACCUCAGCUGGUCUCAGCACCCCUUGACAUUGUCUCACCUGCAGUCAUGUCACUUCUGUGGGAAGGGGGUCCUCCUCCUCUAGGGUGGACCUCUUUGAAUGUCACUCCACUCCAGAGGUCCUUGUAAGCUGCCUUCAGUUUGUUUUGGGCUUGAAUCACAGUGUAACUGCACCCUCUCUCCAGUGUCCUUCCUGUCUCUCCUGCAAGGCCACCCUUGAAUACAUUUCCUGCUUUCAAAUUUCCGUCUGAAUCUGCUUCCUAGAGAACCCAACGCACCACAGUUGGUUCUAAGAAUCACCUGAGAAAGGACCCUUGGUGAGAAUCUGGAGCUGGAGACGCCACUGCUUGUCUGGUGCUAAGGACUCCAUCCCUGGGGUUGGUGGAGCACAGAGGCCCCCGGGGCUGAGCAACAGAACAUCAGAUCACCUUUCACUGCUGGUGAGCUGGAUGGGUACCAGGGGAAGGGGAUGCAUUAGCUGGCAUGGUGUACCAGUCGUUUUAUGAACAUGGAGCAAGAGUAAAUCUAAGGACAGUGGAAUGGAGUGGCUAUAGCUAAGCUCAACGGAUACUCCGGAAAAUGGCAAUGGAAAGGUAACAGUGGUUAAUAGGCACAGGAGAGCUGAGUGCAAAAGUCACAGACCUCCUGAUUAGCACACAAAGAGACUCUCAAGUCCUACAGCAAGAGGGCAAAGAAAGCUAAAGAUUUUUACCGGAAUCCUUGCGCACCAAAGAGAAUAAACCCCCACUCAAGCAGGGGAGCUAUGCCCAGGUCCCCUGACCUUGGCUGGGAAUCAUGCAGGUGGAUGUGUCCCAAGACCCUGAAUCUCUGGACCCCUCUGACCCUCUGGGCCACUCCCUCCUGCUGAGAGCUGGCUUUCUCCCUUUGCUUGAAGAUGCUAUGGCGGUCUUGCCCCUAUAUCGUCUACCCUCAGCAUCUGUCCCCUCUUGGGCUGCUAAUAACCAGCGAUCGUUCCCCUCUCGGCUUGGGGCUUGCUGAGAAGAGAGGAAGGAACUGAGGACCUGCAGGGUCUGGUCAGCCUGUGUCAGCAGGACCUGGGGUAGUGCAGAAGACUGGAUUUUGAAGGUGUCUGACCAAGGGGGAGGGACAUAAAAUCAGAUAGGCCGGGGUUUAUUGGUUUGAGGGUACUUUCCUGGGUUAUAAGAGUUAGCGCCCUAGAAAGAACUCCAGGAGAUGCUGAGGAAACACAGGUCCAAGAAGCGUGGAGCAAGCAGUGGCUCCCGUCCCUCAACUUGCGACAAUUCAGAAAGUCCUCCCCCGCCCCAGAGCUCUCUGCGGGGUUACUGAAGGCCUUUGCUGCAAUGGCAGACUAACUCAACGUCUCCCUUUGCCAAUCCCAGUUUUUUCCUCUCUGCUUCACCUGUAAUUGAUGUAAGAGCAACUUCCCAGGCACCCCAAUUUUUAUCUCAAAGUCUUGCCAGAGGAGCCCACCGAUUACAAAUACCGUCUGUCUUGUGGGCCAGAAAGUCCCAAAUGUGGCUGCUGCAUACAUGCUCCCUGGAGUCUCUAUAUCUACAGGGGUGGAAGAGCAAAUGAUUUGCCCAAAGCAAAUUAUUAGUGCUCCCAAGUUUCAGAUCCAGAUAUAUUUGUCUUCAAAGCUAUUGUUCCUUUUGAAUCCUGCUGUGGUUUCCUAUUUAAUACAUAUUUUUAUAAUCCAUUUGUUGUCAAAGUACCUAAAUUCAGAGACAGAGAAAACACCAAGCUAAUAGAUUUCAACUGCAGUAUGUAGUUGGAAACAGUUGGAACACUGUGUCUAAGACACGGAGCUAACUGUCUGUGGUUCAUUCACUCAUUCUUCAAUUUAUUCAUUUAACAAACUUUGAUUAAGCCCUUACAAUAUGCCAGGCCCUAGGCUUUGUACUGAGAUACAGCAAUCAAUAAAACUUAUAUUCUGAUUUCAAAACUUAUGGUCCAGCAGAACAGAAUGAUAUAUAAGCAUGUAGGUGCAAUAAAUAUUUAAAGGCAGAUAAAGGAUGGUUAAAGGAUAAAGCAUGGGAAUAACCAAGCACCACUUUGUGAAGCCAGGGGCCUGCAUGGCUACUGUAACGCCCAGGGUCAGUAAAAUGCUGGUGUUACUAGUAUAGAACUGACAGUAAAACUGAUAACCCCAUCUGCCCCUUGUACAACUGACCCUGGCCUGAGCUGAAACACCGUGAGCGUCCCCUGUCCCAUAUUACAAAAAUUACAGCCAGUUGGCUUUGUGCAUCCUAGCACAGGCAGGUAUGGCUUACCAGCAACUCUGAGCAAAGCAGAUUAUGUUGGCAACAUUUCCACUUUAACUUCAUUAUUUGGUGAUAUCCCAUUGCAAGUAGGAUGGGAUGCAGGACACCCCCCGCUCCAAGUUGGUCUAUGUGUUAAUAAAACAUGGGCGUGUGAUGCAUAAAGAUAUGGUCCAUUUUCCUUCCCCUCUUCUGUCCAGCACUGGUUACCAUACUGCCCAGGAAUCCAUAGCUGCCAUCCUAUUCAGUGGGCACAGCCAGAGCAAUGGUAAAAAGUUCAUAGAAGGAGGGCAAACAGUGGAUUCAAGUUCAGCACAGCGGAGAAGAGAAAAAGAUUAUAGAUAGAGAAGGAGAAUGGAGGAGAUAGUAAAUAAUUAAGCAACAAAUGUGUACUGUUGUUUUCCAUUAGAAAUACAGAUGACAACAUGCUAUUAAAAGGCUAUGAUAGAGGAACAGAUUAAUGGGGAAAGACAACAAGAGGGCUUAUUAUCAAGAGCUGUAAGACUAAGAAAGUGGGAAAUUCUGUGAGUCAGAAUAGAGGCUUUUUUCCUUGCUACAUCCUGAGCAUCUGGCCCAGAGCUUGACACAGUGUAGGAGCUUAAUAUGUGUUUUUAAAUAAAUAAAUUAGUGACAGACUGAAUGAAUCACAGACACUUAGCUCAUCAUCUGUACACCAUGUUCUGAUUGUUUCCAGCUACGUGUUUAACUUUCAUGAUAUCUUCCUGCAAUUGAUACUUACCACCUUGAUGUUUCCUCUGCCUAUAAAUUCAGAUAUUUUGCCAACCGAUCAAUUGUAAAAACAUGUGUUAAACAGGAAAACACAGCAGGAUGCAAAAGGGAAGCACAGUGGUUGUAAAGGGAAUUGUAUCUGGGUCUCAGAAUGGGCAGUGGCACCGAGACCGGGCAAAUCAUUCAUCUUUCAGCUCCCUGUACUGCCUCACACCAUUGAUGUUAGGGCUGAUGGAAAGUAUGUACAGGUAGGUUUUUCACUUUAUUCCAAAAAACUACAGUGGGUGGGAGUGGGAUGAUGUUUAAGUGUUUAUGUAUGCAUAAAAUGAUGUGGUUCAAAAUAGCUGAAACAAAGGACUCAUCCUGCCCACGAAAGCCUGUAGAAAGUCUAGGAAAAUGCAAAGCUCCUGCACCAGACCGUGUAUUCCUGGAGGGCUAGAGCUAUGCUUUUUUCUCUUUAGACUCCAGGUGCCUUGCAGGUAGGAAACUCUUAGUAAAUAUUUGCUUUUUAAUGCAAUGAUUCAUCAUGUGACUCAGUUUCUCCAUUUGUAAAUUUGCCUAUAAUGCCCCUGAACUUGGGAGUUUUGUGAGGACAAGAGUCAUGCAAGUCAGGGUCACAUAGGGCUCUUGAUAUAGUAUAACCACGUGUUAUGGUCUGAGCUGUGCUCCCCCAAAUUCAUAUGUUGAAAGUCUAACCCCUUGUACCUCAGAAUGUGACUAUAUUUGGAGAAAAGGCCUUUAAAGGGAGGGAGUUAAGGUAAAAUGAGGUCUUCAUAGUGAGCCCUAAUCCUGAAUGACCAAUGUCCUUAUAAGAAGAGGAGACUGGGACCCACAGAGCCACCAGGCAUGUGUACGGAGAGGACAUGGAGAGAAGAAGGCCCUCUGUAGGCCAGGGAGAGUGGCCUCAGAGGAAACUGACCCAGCCGGCAGCUUCAUCCUGGACAUCUAGCCUCCAGAGCUAUGAAAAAUAAAUCCUGCUCUUUGA